RNAcentral lists this long non-coding RNA (1482 nucleotides) under Brassica napus (rape). RNAcentral's name for it is "long non-coding RNA (BNAP_LNC009767)". Lineage: Eukaryota; Viridiplantae; Streptophyta; Magnoliopsida; Brassicales; Brassicaceae. The record is from RNAcentral.
UUUUUGUGAUAGAAACUUAUAAAGGUGCUAUUUUGGAGAUUUGCACUUUAAUUAAUGAAGUAAAAACAUUUUCAAAUGGGUACUUCUCUUUUAAUAAUAUAGAUGAUAUUCGAUAGCAUGGUCAUCCCGGAUUUGGCAUUUCAAACUUGAUUCAGAGACAUUAUAUUUGGUAAAAAGAGAUUAUAUUUGGGAUUUGGCUCAAGAACAUGUGUUGAUUUGUCCAUGAGACUAACUUGUUACACAUAUGUGUCUUGCAUCUAAAACAUCACUUAUCACGAGAAAUUUGGCUCAUAAUUUUCUUUUAAUGUUUUAUGAAUUAUAAUCCAUUCACGUCCAUUUACUCCUAUAUUUUCUUUUUAACUUAUUCCAUUUAUACUUCACCCAUGUUCACUCAGCAUAAUUCGGCCAGGUGUAAGGGUGCGGGUGGUAACACCAGAUCUUUGAAAACUCUUAUGGAAUUAAGUAUCGAGUAUUUUCGUCAAACAUCAGAUUGGAAACUCUUCCUGUACUUGUAGAUGUAAUCAAGUAUAGUUAUUGCUUAAAUACGUAUUUAGGUUUAUAAUUUUAAAUUGCAUGCUUGACUUUGUAGUUACUACAAAACUAUAAGCGUGUACUUAUGGACUUUGAAAUUAAUUUCAGAUUUAGAAAUUCUAAUAGAAAAAAUGACUGGAUAGCAAUAAAAAAGUUUUUGUCACAAAUAUAGCUUUUAAAAAUAAAAAUGACCAAAAUAGCACUUAAUGUUUUAUCAAAAUAGAUAAAUAUACACUUAUACCCCAAUGAUAAAUUAAUUUAGACAUUAGGGUUUAGAGUUAAGGGGUGGGGUUUAGGAUUUAGGGUUUACGAUUUAAGGUUUAGAGUUUAGGGUUUAGGGUUUAGAGUUUAGGGGUAGGGUUUAGAGUUUAGAGUUAAGGGGUGUGGUUUAGGAUUUAGGGUUUAGGGUUUAGGAUUUAGGGUUUAGGGUUUAUGGUUUAGAGCUUAGGGUUUAGGGUUUAGAGUUGGAGAGUGGGGUUUUGGGAUAAGAUUUCAAAUUUUGAAAAAUAAAAAAAAAUUAAAUUUUUCAAAAGAUAAAAUGCUAUUUUGAUCAUUUUAGUUUCGAGUGCUAUUUUUGUGACAUAAACUUAAAAAUGUGCUAUUUUAGAGAUUUGUCCAUUAUAGUAUGACAAUUUAAGACUUCACGUGGCCGAGGCCGAGUAUAUCGUGUCCGCGGCAAUAUAUAUGUUUUCAAUAUUUACGCCAUAUGAGGUCAAACUGAACCGACCGGAUGAAAUCCAUUCACAUGGACCAUAUAACUUGUCACUGCAGUUAUAUAUUUUAAAUUCUGGUCUAUAUGCAUUUAAUUUAUUGUUCAUCUCUAUGCAUCUGAAUUUUUUAAUGGUCGAGUUUCAACUGAGGCAUGACAUAAAGUUAAGUGGGAAAACAUUACUGGAAUCAAAGAUAAAAAUGCCAUAGAACUAUAGAGUUAGUGGUUGUGUUAUGUACCUA